AUUGAACGCUGGCGGAAUGCUUUACACAUGCAAGUCGAACGGCAGCACGAGGGCAACCUUGGUGGCGAGUGGCGAACGGGUGAGUAAUACAUCGGAACGUGCCCAGUCGUGGGGGAUAACGUAGCGAAAGCUACGCUAAUACCGCAUACGAUCUAUGGAUGAAAGCGGGGGACCGUAAGGCCUCGCGCGAUUGGAGCGGCCGAUGGCAGAUUAGGUAGUUGGUGGGGUAAAGGCUCACCAAGCCUGCGAUCUGUAGCUGGUCUGAGAGGACGACCAGCCACACUGGGACUGAGACACGGCCCAGACUCCUACGGGAGGCAGCAGUGGGGAAUAUUGGACAAUGGGCGAAAGCCUGAUCCAGCAAUGCCGCGUGAGUGAUGAAGGCCUUAGGGUUGUAAACUGCUUUUAUCUGGGAAUAAACCACUCUAUUUAUGGGGUGUUGAAGGUACCAGAAGAAUAAGCACCGGCUAACUCCGUGCCAGCAGCCG
This 488-nucleotide ribosomal RNA is filed under the name uncultured bacterium. Its description in RNAcentral is "bacterial SSU rRNA". It matches the Rfam family "Bacterial small subunit ribosomal RNA", at positions 30 to 517 of the family's 1533-position model. The record is from RNAcentral.